This 2269-nucleotide ribosomal RNA is filed under the name human gut metagenome. RNAcentral describes it as "bacterial LSU rRNA". It matches the Rfam family "Bacterial large subunit ribosomal RNA", at positions 14 to 2304 of the family's 2925-position model. The record is from RNAcentral.
AGGGCGUAUGGGGAAUGCCUAGGCACACUCCGGCGAAGAAGGACGCAGCAAACAGCGAAAUGCGACGGUGAGCGGUAAGCACGUGAAGAGCCGUCGAUAUCCGAAUGGGGGAACCCACACGGAGUCAUAUCCGUGUAUCACAUGUCGAAUACAUAGACAUGAUGAGGCGAGACGCAGGGAACUGAAACAUCUAAGUACCUGCAGGAAGAGAAAAUAAGAAUGAUUUUCUGAGUAGCGGCGAGCGAAAGGGAAAGAGCCCAAACCGAUUUUAGGAUCGGGGUAGUAGGAUCAUCGAGGAAUCUGACAGAGGAUCAUAGAGGAAUCACAUGGGAAGGUGAGCGAGAGAGGGUGAGAGCCCCGUACUCGAAAUGAGAGACUGGAGAGAGAUGACACCUGAGUAGGGCGGGACACGAGAAAUCCUGUCUGAAUCAGCCGGGACCAUCCGGCAAGGCUAAAUACGAGAGAGUGACCGAUAGUGAACCAGUACCGUGAGGGAAAGGUGAAAAGAACCCCGGGAGGGGAGUGAAAGAGAACCUGAAACCAUAUGCCUACAAGAAGUCAGAGCCCGUUAAAGGGUGAUGGCGUGCCUUUUGUAGAAUGAACCGGCGAGUUACUGUAUGGAGCGAGGUUAAGCAGGAUAUGCGGAGCCGAAGCGAAAGCGAGUCUUAAGAGGGCGCGAGUUGCAUGCAGUAGACCCGAAACCGGGUGAUCUAGCCAUGACCAGGUUGAAGUUGGGGUAAAACCCGAUGGAGGACCGAACCGACCCCCGUUGAAACGUUGGCGGAUGAGUUGUGGCUAGGGGUGAAAUUCCAAUCGAACCCGGAGAUAGCUGGUUCUCCCCGAAAUAGCUUUAGGGCUAGCGUCGAGAGAAGAGUUGCGUGAAGGUAGAGCACUGAAUAUGUGAUGGCCCCAUCUCGGGGUACUGAGCAUAAUCAAACUGCGAAUGUCACGCCAACAUGCUCGGCAGUCAGACAGCGGGUGAUAAGGUCCGUUGUCAAGAGGGAAACAGCCCAGACCAUCAGCUAAGGUCCCAAAAUGUAUGCUAAGUGGAAAAGGAUGUGGAGAUGUACAGACAACUAGGAGGUUGGCUCAGAAGCAGCCAUCCUUUAAAGAGUGCGUAACAGCUCACUAGUCGAAUGACUCUGCGCCGAUAAUUUACCGGGGCUAAGCAUACUACCGAAGCUAUGGAUCCCAAGGGAUGGUAGGGGAGCGUUCCAUGAACGGAGAAGUACGACCGAAAGGACGUGUGGAGAUCAUGGAAGAGAGAAUGCCGGUGUGAGUAGCGGAACGUGGGUGAGAAUCCCACGCACCGAAAACCCAAGGUUUCCAGAGGAAGGUUCGUCCGCUCUGGGUAAGUCGGGACCUAAGGCGAGGCCGAAAGGCGUAGUCGAUGGACAACAGGUAGAGAUUCCUGUACCCGUAUAUAUGUGAAGGAAUGACGGAGAGAGGAAGCUGCAGCCAGCGGCUGGAAGAGCUGGUGCAAGCGAGAUAUCGGGAUGGCAGGCAAAUCCACCAUCCGAAACGAGAAGGCGUGAAGCGUACGGAAAGCUACGGCGAGUACGGAAGGCAGUGGAGGAACUUCCAAGAAAAGUUUCUAACGUUAAGUAUAUAUGGCCCGUACCGAAAAUGGACACACAUGGGUGAGGAGAGAAUCCUAAGGUGAGCGAGAGAACUAUAGCUAAGGAACUCUGCAAAAUGACUCCGUAACUUAGGGAGAAGGAGUGCUCAUAGAGAUAUGAGCCGCAGUGAAACGGCCCAAGCGACUGUUUACCAAAAACACAGCUCUCUGCUAAGCCGCAAGGCGAAGUAUAGGGGGUGACGCCUGCCCGGUGCUGGAAGGUUAAGGGGAGGGGUUAACGCAAGUGAAGCCCUGAACUGAAGCCCCAGUAAACGGCGGCCGUAACUAUAACGGUCCUAAGGUAGCGAAAUUCCUUGUCAGGUAAGUUCUGACCCGCACGAAAGGCGUAACGAUUUGGGCGCUGUCUCAGCUGUAGACUCGGUGAAGUCUUAGUACCUGUGAAGAUGCAGGUUACCCGCGACUAGACGGAAAGACCCCAUGGAGCUUCACUGCAGGUUGAUAUUGGGAUUUGAUGCAGCAUGUACAGGAUAGGUAGGAGGCAAAGAGAUGGAUACGCCAGUAUUCAAGGAGCCGCUGUUGGGAUACUACCCCUGUUGUAUUGGAUUUCUAACCGGACGACGUAGAGCCGUUGACGGGACAGUGUCAGUCGGGCAGUUUGACUGGGGCGGUCGCCUCCCAAAGAGUAACGGA